GUUAUCGUUUAUUUGAUAGUACCUUACUACUUGGAUAACCGUGGUAAUUCUAGAGCUAAUACAUGCUGAAAACCCCAACUUCGGGAGGGGUGUAUUUAUUAGAUAAAAAACCAACGCCCUUCGGGGCUUCUUGGUGAUUCAUGAUAACUUCACGGAUCGCAUGGCCUUGCGCCGGCGACGGUUCAUUCAAAUUUCUGCCCUAUCAACUUUCGAUGGUAAGGUAUUGGCUUACCAUGGUUUCAACGAGUAACGGGGAAUUAGGGUUCGAUUCCGGAGAGGGAGCCUGAGAAACGGCUACCACAUCCAAGGAAGGCAGCAGGCGCGCAAAUUACCCAAUCCCGACACGGGGAGGUAGUGACAAUAAAUACUGAUACAGGGCUCUUUUGGGUCUUGUAAUUGGAAUGAGUACAAUUUAAACCUCUUAACGAGGAACAAUUGGAGGGCAAGUCUGGUGCCAGCAGCCGCGGUAAUUCCAGCUCCAAUAGCGUAUAUUAAAGUUGUUGCAGUUAAAAAGCUCGUAGUUGAAACUUGG
RNAcentral lists this ribosomal RNA (532 nucleotides) under uncultured fungus. Its description in RNAcentral is "SSU rRNA". It matches the Rfam family "Eukaryotic small subunit ribosomal RNA", at positions 109 to 644 of the family's 1831-position model. The record is from RNAcentral. Lineage: Eukaryota; Fungi.